UACUAUAUUAAGAUUAAAAUUUAAAUACUUUAAUAUUAUUAGAUAUGUUCUUAAAAUUAAAAGAUUUGGCGGUAAUUUAGUCUAACUAGGGGAACCUGUUUUUUAAUCGAUACACCACGAUUUAUCUUACUUUUAAAUGAGUUUGUAUACCAUCAUUUAAGAUAAUUUUUAAAGAAUUUAUUAAAAUUUAGAUUAAUAAAAUAAGUUAGAUCAAGGUGCAGCUAUGAAAAAGUUAAAAUGGGUUACAAUAAUUUAUAAUUAGAUGGAUAAUUUUUYGAAUUAAUAAUUUAMAGGUGGAUUUACGUUGUAAUUUUAUUUUAAUAUGAUAAAAAGAAAUAAGCUCUAAAUUAU
RNAcentral lists this ribosomal RNA (351 nucleotides) under Inachus aguiarii. RNAcentral's name for it is "partial small subunit ribosomal RNA". Lineage: Eukaryota; Metazoa; Arthropoda; Malacostraca; Decapoda; Inachidae. The record is from RNAcentral.